ACACACAGGUCUGGUUUGUAAACAAAGGCAGGCCAGUCUCACUAAUAAUCAAACCUCACAAACCUUAACAGUUUUGUAGACAACCCAGAAGUCUCACUACCCACAAUGCAUCAUGCCAUUUGGUCAUUGAAGAACUUUGCUAAAAGGUUAUGGAGAGAAAUUCUGCUGUUGUGUCCUUGGGCAAGACACUUAACCCACGUUGCCUGCCGGUGGUGGUCGGAGGACCGGUGGCGCCUGUGCUCGGCAGCCUCGCCUCUGUCAGUGCGCCCCAGGGCAGCUGUGGCUACAUCGUAGCUCAUUACCAUUAGUGUGUGAAUGUGUGUGUGAAUGGAUGAAUGAUAAACUGUAGUGUAAAGCACCUUGGAGUCCUUACUCUGAGAGGCGCUAUACAAGGGCGGGUCAUUUAUCAUUUAAAUAGGAUAGAGAAUCGUCUUUUAUUAGGCAUGUUUCCGCCAGAUCUUUACCGUUAUUCGAUCGGACAUUCAUGGCAUACGUCUCCAUUUCACUGGGCUGGCUCAAAAGGGCCACUUUCAGGGCCCUUUCAACUAACUGAAUACAUGCACUUGGAAAUGGUAGAGUUUCUGGGUGGGACCUGUAGUUAUCUCAUGCUGAUUGGUUGUAACUCAGUUGGAAAUAAAUUGGCAGACAUUGCUAAACAAUCGACAUUUGUCAAAUUCAAAGAGUUGCCGGUGAAGCAGAAUGCGAACGAUAAUAAGCAGUGUUGACGCCGCUUUAAAAUCCCAGGUUUCUCAACAUCAAAAUCAACAUAAAAAAACAAAAUGCUGUAGAAAUCCUGCCAACAACACCACUAAAUUGGCCGCAUUCUGGUCUCCUAUAUAGUACCAUAAAAAACUGCGUUUCUUCUAGUUUUUGAAAGCUGUUUUCAUGUCACACAGUUGCUCUUCCUGUCUCCCGAAGAGAUAAAAUUACGGCAUGCUUUGACAGAAUUAAACUUAAAAAAAAAUUUUUUUUUAUGUCUGUGGACACCUUUUGGUGCUGAUCAGACGUUAGUCACAGUGCCAAAAAAAGUUGUGAUUUGCUCCUGUCUUAGCAAAGUCCAGAAAGGGAUAGCUGACCCCUACUGGACAUCGCUGCACUUCUGGAACAAUGCAGGGAGUAAAAUACCAAUUAAGUCACUUGUUUUGACAUAAUAUACAUGGAUAUGAAAUUGCAUCACUGCAGUACACUUUUGUAUUGAAAAUCACAGUGAAACCGUGUGUGAUUUCCUGUCUAGCUAAAGAUCUCCUCAGCUUUGGUAACGCAACUCUAAGUAACAUCCUUGACAAAUAUGUGAGUCCAUCAUGUCUGUUGACAGAGAAUCCACUUUAAGAGAGUGGAUGCACUUAAAGCAAGCUGGGAGAUGUUUGGCGGCCUCCUCUGUGCGUGACCUGAUGAAUGUUGUAAAGACGAGCUGAAGGUCCUUCUUCUGUCCCUCACACUACCUUUAAGCAGCGCUGCAUGUGAGAGAGGAUUUUCACAUUUGAAUAUCACCAAAAACAAGUACAGACCUAGCCUGUCAGACAAUCGGCUCUCAUCGCUAAUGCACAUCAUGCCGUCCCAGUUUACCACAGAAACCUUUGGCCCAAAUCCAUCGGUUGACUUGUGGAUGAAAACAGCUAAUCGCAGGCUGAACCAGGAGAAAAGGAGUAAGCCUGAACCAUCCACAUCCUCUGCUGUGUGUGAACUGGAGGAAGCCAGUCAGGAUAGUGAGGAGGAUGAGAGUCUGUAGGAAUAAAAACAGCAUUUAUGCCAUUUAAAAAAUGUCAGUGCUCUGAAAAAGUCAUUUUGUUAAGUGCUUUAAAAUUUAUUUGAUUUGAUUUUUGUUAUCACAAAAGCAGCAGUUUACACAUUGUGUUUUACAUUCAGACAAUUCAGUCAUGCUAUUUUUAAAUUAGAAGGUUUAAGUUAAGCUGGCUAUGUGUGCCUGUAUUAAAAUAUGUUGCAUCGUCAACACGUUACUCUGUUUUGUUCCUAUUGUGAGUUGGGUUAAGAAUGAAGUGCAUCAACAAAUGUGAGGACCAAGCAUCAACCAUAGGUUCUCCCCUGAGUACCAACCCAAAGAUGUUAUGUGCUCCCCUGACUAUAAUGGAGUCCAUUUGAAGCAAAGACAUUGCGCUGCCGUUCCGUGCCGAUGAUGCUUCCAGUGUGCAGUAGGCACGAGAGGACCUAACCCUAACCUAGCCAUUUUUCCCUGUCACCCCUCCAGAAAUUUCCCAACACUCCUAUAAUGAUGUAUAACUGUCAUUAUACUCAAAGAGGCACAAAACUGAGAAGUGUGUGAAGAAGUGUGUUUAAUUUUAAAAGGACACUGAUACUGUUUGAAUGCUACAAGAUCUUAUAAGUGAUGCAGUCUCUUUAAUAGAUGAACAUUUAACUGUUAAAUCGGUAUAAAUGUGCUUCUGUGUUUUUCAGUGUUGGUGUAGAGUUCAUAGUUGCUCCAAACCUUGUUUAGUUUAGAUCUCUGACCACUUCAAGCUGAAUUCUUGAUUUUCUUCAACAAUUGUAAAAAGAAAUGUCCAGUAAUCACUUCCCCCGUGAGAACAAGGCUACAACCAUGUAAGGUGUUAAUGUGCCAAUUGUGACUGGUGUGUUUGCACCUCCAUUGAUAUGACUGUUAUGGUUGCAUGCCACCUCUAUGCAAAGUACCCAGGUGUCGAUUGCUAAUGGUGUUCCAAAUAGCCAACAUGAAUCUUUUUUAUUAAAUAAUGCCAAAUGCUGUAUAAGGUAUUUUGCUGACAGGCAAACCGGGUUGACUUGACCCUCCUGUCCAAAAAUUGACCAAAUGGUUAAACAUGAAACAAAGAUAUUCCAUUAUCAGUUAACACUUUUCUGUUCAUAACCUUUAUGGACAGGAUUUCUAGGCGCAGCCAAGGUGUGGAGGGCAUCCAUUUUGGUGGCCUGAGAAUCAGGUCUCUGCUUUUUGCAGAUGAUGUGGUCCUGUUGGCUUAAUCUGUCAUGGUCUGCCCUGAUCAUUCCUAAUAACAAUCAAUCGUCUCAGGUUUGUGUUUACAGGUGGGCGUGUCGGAGAGCCAGCUGUGCCUGAGCUCCCUGAUCCGAGGGCCAGGGGUAUUUAAGGAGCGGUGUGACCCAACUCCAGUGCCGGUUGAUACUCUCACCUCGGAACGAACCUACCGUCGCCUGGAGUUGUCUACCGACGUCACAUUGCUCAAGAUCCCCUGGCCUCCGCUCUCCACCGUCCGCCUGUCGUCCUGCCUGCCUCUCAGCCUGCUUCCCAGUCUUGUCCUGGAUCUGAACUCCUGCCAUUCGUCCGUUCCCACCUGGUCCCAAAGACCCAGUCCAUCCUCACCAGUCCUGGUCAUCAAUUAUUGCGGUUCACCCUGUUCCCGUUUGGAGCAGCACCCUUAGUUUACUCACCAUUCUUAAUAAAAAUUAUUGUAUUAUUGUUACUUACACCGUCUCCAUAGUGUGAUUCUUUCAUGUCUUGGGAAAAACAUCUUCCCAUAAACAUGACAUCAUCAGAACGUGAUCUUCAGCUUUCGCUGGAGCGGUUCGCAGCCGAGUGUGAAGCAGCUGGGAUGAGAAUCAGCUCCUCUAAAUCUGAGACCAUGGUCUUGAUUCGGAAAAGGGUAGAAUAUCUUCUCCGGGUCAGGGAUGAGGUCCUGCCCCAAGUGGAGGAGUUUAAGUAUCUCGGGGUCUUGUUCACGAGUGAGGGAAAACUAGAGCGUGAGAUUGACAGGCGGAUUGGUGCUGCAUCUGCAGUGAUGCGGGCGUUGUACCGGUCUGUCGUGGUGAAGAGAGAGCUGAGUCAGAAGGCAAAGCUCUCGAUUUACUGGCCGAUCUACGUUCCUACCCUCACCUAUGGUCAUGAGCUUUGGGUAGUGACCGAAAGAACGAGAUUGCGGAUACAAGCGGCUGAAAUGAGUUUUCUCCGAAGAGUGGCUGGGCUCUCCCUUAGAGAUAGGGUGAGAAGCUCGGUCAUCCGGGAGGGGCUCGGAGUAGACCCGCUGCUCCUCCACAUUGAGAGGAGCCACUUGAGGUGGUUCGGGCAUCUGGUCAGGAUGCCUCCUGGACGCCUCCUUGGUGAGGUUUUCCAGGCAAGUCCAACCAGGAGGAGACCUAAAGGUAGACCCAGGACAUGGUGGAGGGACUAUGUCUCUCAGCUAGCAGGGAACGUCUUGGGAUUUCCCCGGAGGAGCUGGCCCAAGUGGCUGGGGAGAGGGAAGUCUGGGCCUCUCGACUUACGCUACUGCCCCCGCGACCCGACUCUGGAUGAGCGGAAAAAAAUGGAUGGAUGGAUGGAUGGAUGGAAUAUGUGACGGAUGACACCAGUUACUACUUUGCCAAAUUUUUUUUCGAUAGUAUCUGUAAGAUUGACUUAGUCGUAGCCAUUUUUUGUGUUUGCUAAGAUCAGUUACGCAGUCCUCUUGAAUGAGAAUGAAUUUACAAAGUCGAUCAGCAAUGGAGUAAAUCUAUGAAGGGACAGCAGUGGCUCAGGAGGUAGAGUGCGUUGUCUAAUAAUCGGAAGGUUGUAGGUUUGAUCCCGGCUCCCGCCGGAGAAUGCUGUUGUGUCCUUGGGCAAGACACUUAACCUACUUUGCCUGCUGGUGGUGGUCGGAGGCACUGGUGGCGUCAGUGUUCGGCAGUCUCACUUCCGACAGUGCGCCCCAGGGCAGCUGUGGCUACAUUGUAGCUCAUCAUCACCAGUGUGUGAAUGGGUGAAUGACUGAUUGUGUUGUGAAGCGCCUUGGGUGAACCCUAAGAUGGCGCUUUACAAAUACAGGUCAUUUACCAAGAUUUUCUGAGUGGAGAUGUAUUGCAGAUAUCCAUAAUGUUGUUGCCUUUUUAAAAAGGAGACAAAGCAUUUCAGAUAUGAAAUAGGGCUUUAAUCCUAUUAACAAUCAGUAUUUCAGACAUCACAAAUGUCAUUCAUUUUUGGACAAAUGUCACAUUUUUCAUAUAUAAAUAUGAAAUUUGAAACUCUACAUAGCUAUAAAAUCUAAUCUUCCUUUCUUUAAAUAACAUUUCAGAUCACGUCAGAUUGUUUUAAACUAUUGAUAAUGUUAAUUUUCCAUAAAAAUAAUUAUCUGUAGCUGAAAUAAACACAAAGGGUAAAAAAUGUUAAAUGGAAAGAAUCUUAUGUGUUCAUUGUUCAGUAGAAAUAAUGGCAAUCAGGUAAUCAGAAAUUUAGGAUGUCUGCUUUAAAAUCGUGUUUAACUUUUAUAUGGCAAAUUUGCUUGCUAUAUAAGUCACACAACACUAGCUGUAAACACAGGAAUCAGAUUUAUGCCACAAUGAAACCCUCAUUAAUCAUUUAUGUUUAAAUGUUGCUCAGAUUCAACAUGGUUUACCCUAACUCAUACUUACAUGUGAUCUCACCUUCCUUCCUGUCAUUGCCCCCGUUCACCUCGUUGUCCUUUGCCUUUGUUGACAAUGAGGGUGUGUUUCUCCAUGUUUGUGUGUGUGGGUGAGUGUGUGACGCCUGGAAACCUCCAAAACUCAUUUCAGUUGUUCCCGCCUCAACCUCCUUUCAUGGUGAUUUCCGUUUGAAUCAGGGCCAGCAUUAACAAACUUGGGAGCCCUUCCUGUAGUGUGUGUGUGUCAAUGUGUGUUUGACUCAUUUUGAGAGUCUUCCUGAUAAGAUUAACCUUUUGUUUUGUUGUUUAUUUUCAAAGGGACUUCCCGGUUUUUCCUCCUGUAAUGAAUUUACUGUAAGCGUGUCGCUAAAACAAUAAUGACUGUAAGUUUCCCAACAAAAAAGGGAGGAUAUUCAAAACAAGAACCGUGAUAUAAAACAUUUAUCAAGUUUUCUGGUUGAACAUUUUUACCUUAACGGCCUUUCCAGCCAGACCAUUAUCCAAAUUUCAAAAUUGUUAAAAAAAAACUUCAAGCUUGAUAGACUUAGAUCAAUUACAGUAUUUAGCAGUUUGGAUGUUGUGAUGAUGUUUUACAAUGAAUGCUUUUUAUUUUACAGCUGGUAUUCAUCUGUAGAGUUUGGGUCAUAGCUCUGAUGCAGGAAUCAGUUUCAGUUCAAUUCAAUUCAAGUUUAUUUAUGUAGCGCGAAAUCACGACAAGAGUCGUCUCAAAGCACUUCACAUAAUAAACAUUCCAAUUCACAGUUCAUUAAGCCAAUCAGAAAUAAUGUUUCCUAUAUAAGGAACCCAGCAAAUUGCAUUUACAGCAAUCCUCAUACUAAGCAAGCAUAUAGCGAAUGUGGAGAGGAAAACUCUCUUUUAACAGGAAGAAACCUCUAGAGAAUCCCGGCUCAGUAUAAGCAGCCAUCCUCCACGACUCACUGGGGAUCGAGAAGACAGAGUACACACACACACACACACACACACACACACACACACACACACACACACACACACACACACACACACACACACACACACACACACACACACACACACACACACACACACACACACACACACACACACACACGCACGCACGCACGCACG
Molecule: non-coding RNA, 6422 nt
Organism: Nothobranchius furzeri (turquoise killifish)
Lineage: Eukaryota; Metazoa; Chordata; Actinopteri; Cyprinodontiformes; Nothobranchiidae
Source: RefSeq, a predicted model, not a curated record